Molecule: ribosomal RNA, 484 nt
Filed under: uncultured bacterium
Lineage: Bacteria
Description: partial 16S ribosomal RNA
Rfam family: Bacterial small subunit ribosomal RNA
Source: RNAcentral
AUUGAACGCUGGCGGCAGGCCUAACACAUGCAAGUCGAGCGGAUGAAGGGAGCUUGCUCCUGGAUUCAGCGGCGGACGGGUGAGUAAUGCCUAGGAAUCUGCCUGGUAGUGGGGGAUAACGUCCGGAAACGGGCGCUAAUACCGCAUACGUCCUGAGGGAGAAAGUGGGGGAUCUUCGGACCUCACGCUAUCAGAUGAGCCUAGGUCGGAUUAGCUAGUUGGUGGGGUAAAGGCCUACCAAGGCGACGAUCCGUAACUGGUCUGAGAGGAUGGUCAGUCACACUGGAACUGAGACACGGUCCAGACUACUACGGGAGGCAGCAGUGGGGAAUAUUAGACAAUGGGCGAAAGCCUGAUCCAGCCAUGCCGCGUGUGUGAAGAAGGUCUUCGGAUUGUAAAGCACUUUAAGUUGGGAGGAAGGGCAGUAAGUUAAUACCUUGCUGUUUUGACGUUACCAACAGAAUAAGCACCGGCUAACUUCGUG